UUUACUAUUUGCAUUUAAUUGUUGUACAAAGGUUUUCUACAAACCCUAAAUCCAUUGUCGCGCCUGCCUACUCUCCACAUAUCCCGAUCCAUGAAAUUGAUUUCACCACUUGAUUAUUUCUCUAUUUCUGAUGCGCAACUGAUCUCCAUGGAUAUACCAAUUUGAUUUUGCAUUCACGAUACGUAAUCCGUAUGUUUCUUCGCCUUGAAUUUUAAGGAUUUUUCGGUUAUCAUGUCGUCAGUUGUAGCAAGAACGCGUCAUCAUCUUCAGCGUUACGAUAACAAUCUUCGCUUCUGUUAGGGGCCUUUGUAUGCGUUAUAGCUGGUGAUUGGAUGUAUACAACAGAGGAGGUGUAAUUGGAACCCUGUGCUUCAUAUGCAGAAUUACUUUUCUUUGACCAAGGUGUUGUACGAGUUGCAACAGGUGAUGUGGAGGCGUCAACGACAAAAUUGUGGUGGAUAGUAGGAUCCGGUGAUGAGUGGAGUGUCCGAGAAAAAAGUGUAAGAGAUCUGGUGGUGUUGGGUCCAGAUGGGUCAGAAUUCAACUAUUGCCAAAUGGGCUAGCAAGUUGUUAAAGAAUGAAAUAUUAGAUUAUGAUGAAAAAGAUGUCACCCUUGUGUUUGAUGUUGCUGCAUCUAUCAUGCAUUCACGACAUGUUAUAUAUUAUUAUGUUUAUUAUUGAUUUGAGAGUUGUAGCUCAGUCAUCAUAUGUUGUUUCAGGCUAUUUGAAAGUGGACUAGCUUAAGUUGGAACUGAUUUUUUUAUCUUCCCUUUAUAGGAUACAUAUAUCAACCACGAGUAUCAGUAUUGAAAUUGGGAAAUAGCUAAAGAGUUUGUUGAAAUGUUAGCUCCGUGAUUCUAACUACUGAAUGGGUCAAGGGAAAGCAUAUGGAAGAAGUUCUGACCAUCAAAAACACGUGAGUUUUGGUCCUUUUUUCUCUAGCGUGCUUGAAUGAAUAUGCGUUUAUUUUUCUAUUUCUUAUUCUUUUUUUUCUUAUAUUUUCCGAAUUCGCUCUUCAUUAAUAAGGGGUUAAGGGUCUUUUGUUUCUUUC
This is a long non-coding RNA of Helianthus annuus (common sunflower), 1051 nucleotides long. RefSeq lists it as uncharacterized. Lineage: Eukaryota; Viridiplantae; Streptophyta; Magnoliopsida; Asterales; Asteraceae. The record is from RefSeq and is a predicted model, not a curated record. The transcript has 2 exons.